Sebastes umbrosus (honeycomb rockfish) is the source of this 1118-nucleotide long non-coding RNA. RefSeq lists it as uncharacterized. NCBI's taxonomy places the organism in Eukaryota, Metazoa, Chordata, Actinopteri, Perciformes, Sebastidae. The transcript is spliced from 2 exons. The record is from RefSeq and is a predicted model, not a curated record.
UCUCAUGACAUCACAUUCUCGUGACAUCACAUUCUCAUGACAUCACAUUCUCGUGACAUCAAAAUUCUCAUGACAUCACAUUCUCAUGACAUCACAUUCUCAUGACAUCACAUGACAUCACAUUCUCGUGACAUCACAUUCUCCUGACAUCACAUUGUGAUGUAAUCACAUUCUCAUGACAUCACAUUCUCGUGACAUCACAUUCUCAUGACAUCACAUGACAUCACAUUCUCAUGACAUCACAUUCUCAUGACAUCACAUGGCAACGGGGGAAGCUUUGAAGCAUUCAAGUCUAAUCAGCCCUAAUUAUAACCUGCUUAUUAUAACCUGGUUAAAUAUAACCUGGUUAUAAUUAUAACAUGGUUAUUAUAAACCUGGUUAUUAUAGCUUGGUUAUUAUUAUAACCAGGUUAAAUAUAACCUAGUUAUAUGUGAGGAGAUGAUUGUGUUUCAAAAGAAGAGCCCAACAUAAUAAGAGUUGUUGACUGAAGUUAGUGAGUUUUACAGUUAUAGAACAUUAAGAACAUCCAAUCUACUGAAGAAGGGAUUGGUAGAAAUAUUCCAUAUACUAUCUGGAUUCUUCAGAAAUCUUUUAAUCCAGUUGAUUUUUUAAAUUUGAUUAAAUACUGUGAAGAUCAAAACAUGAAGUCCACCUUCAGCUGAAGGGUUAGAAAGAACAGAACAUCAUUUAUAAUGAGCAGAAGAGCUGGAGCCUCAGAUCUCAGAUCUCAGGUCUCAGAUCUCAGAUCUCAGGUCUCAGGUCUCAGGUCUCAGGUCUCAGAUCUCAGAUCUCAGAUCUCAGGUCAGCUCUCUGUGUCUGAGUGUAGGACAGUGUUUCCACCAGCAGGAGGCGCUACAUGACAACAGUUCAUCACUUCAACACAGUGAUGCUGAGACCAGCUCUCUCUAUUAUUAUUAUUAUUAGUAUUAGUAUUAUCAUUAGUGAGAUCACAUGUUUCUAUCUGGGAGCUGAAAACCUGUUAUUGAUUGUAUAAAUGUAUUUUAUUGUUUGUUUCUAUUUCUUUCUUGAGGUGAGAUCAUCUCUCCUGAACAACCGGCUUUUGUUCUCUUCUUCUGCUGUUUCUGCAAAUAAAGAAAUAAAAUCUACAUACACUCUGA